This 327-nucleotide ribosomal RNA is filed under the name uncultured eukaryote. Its description in RNAcentral is "partial 18S ribosomal RNA". It matches the Rfam family "Eukaryotic small subunit ribosomal RNA", at positions 1470 to 1796 of the family's 1831-position model. The record is from RNAcentral.
CCCUUAGAUGUUCUGGGCCGCACGCGCGCUACACUGAUUCAUGCAACAAGUUUUGUCCUUGGCUGAUAGGCCUGGGUAAUCUUUGAACGUGAAUCGUGAUGGGGAUAGAUGAUUGCAAUUAUUCAUCUUCAACGAGGAAUUCCUAGUAAACGCAAGUCAUCAGCUUGCAUUGAUUACGUCCCUGCCCUUUGUACACACCGCCCGUCGCACCUACCGAUUGAAUGGUCCGGUGAAAUCUUCGGAUCUGAGAGAUGUCUGAUUAAUUUCGGACGCCUUUUGGAAAAGUUGCUUAAACCUUACCAUUUAGAGGAGGGUGAAGUCGUAACA